This is a long non-coding RNA of Vombatus ursinus (common wombat), 1125 nucleotides long. RefSeq lists it as uncharacterized. Lineage: Eukaryota; Metazoa; Chordata; Mammalia; Diprotodontia; Vombatidae. The record is from RefSeq and is a predicted model, not a curated record. The transcript has 4 exons.
UUCCUGGUACUUAGUAGGUACUUAAAAUGUUUGGUAACCCUAGUCCCAAAAUGCACUGGUAUGGGUCUCUCUCCUCAUUGGUAGGGAGCAAUCCCUGCCUCCUCCAGGGGCCUUGAGAGGCCAAGGAACUGGCGAAGAUUUGCUCUUAGUGUUCUGGAGUCACUUGAAUCUAUUUGGGCUUCUGUAGUUACUUCCAUGGAGACAACCUCACUUAAUGGAAAAAAACUCAGGGAAGAAACUAACAUGCUAGGAACUGGCCAUCUCCAUCAGGUCCCUAUCCCCAGCUUGCUACAUCAGAGACUUUGAGGAACUUCACCUUGGGGCUUCUAGAAGGACCACAUUGUCUAUCAGCAGCCCCUUUGGGUGGGUGGCAUAAGAACCAGCAGAUGGUUCCCACUUGUUACCAAUUAUUCCCUCUUCAUAUCCAGUUACAUCUUGUAGAGAUUAUCAAAGGUAUUGUCUGGACUAAGUCUGGACUCCUGAAUUGUGACUGUUUGACUACAUCACAGAACCCAAAGAAAAGCCACCGUACAAAUGUGGCUUUUUAUCAUCUACAGAGUUGAUUUAUAUGCCAUGUGCUCCUUCAUCCAAGCUACUGAUAAAAAUGUUGACCGGAACAAGGCCAAAGACAUAUUCCUGGGAUAAUUCACUAUAGACUUUCCUUCAGGUUCAAUCCUUACCUGGAAAAUAAUUUGCCUUGAUAGAGAAAAUAGAAACAAGAAAGUAGGAAUUUCUCUGGGUUCCGUUGUCAUGCCAUCCAUCUCAAGUGUUCAGGAUCUUCUUGCAAUCCUCUUACCUAUGGCAUAAUUUUUUAAAAGUCAUUUUUGUUGCUCUUAGCAUUCAGCACAAAUCUUAGCUUUUUCAGGAAUUUAAUAUUCCUGACAUUAUUGUUGCAGGACUAUGCCUCACUUUUUGUAUUCAUAGUCAGUUACCUUUCCUACCACUUAUCAUUUGUACAUGUCUUUUUUGAUAUUUGAGUUUUUUCAAGUGCAGGAAUAUGAAUAUCUUCAGACCAUUCCCUUUCAUCUUCCUCAUUUGAAUCAUUGGAACCAGCUUGCAUUUAUAUUGUCACAAUUUCAUUCUUUUUAAAAAAUUUUGUAAUUUUGAUUACAUUAAAUUAAAAGG